CGAUACGGGACUCUAUUGAGGCCCCGUAAUCGGAAUGAGUACACUUUAAAUCCUUUAACAAGGAUCCAUUGGAGGGCAAGUCUGGUGCCAGCAGCCGCGGUAAUUCCAGCUCCAAUAGCGUAUAUUAAAGUUGUUGCGGUUAAAAAGCUCGUAGUUGGUUCUGCGUGCCACGCUGUCGGUUUGCCGCCUGUCGGUGUAACUGGCAUGUCGUGGCAUGUCCUGUCGGUGGUGAACGGAAUCCCCGGCACGAUGUAGGCUUUAUUGCCGAAGUCUGUGCCGUGUGCGAUUCCGUUUGCCGAUCUCUCCUACUCCGGUGCUCUUAAACGAGUGUCGAGGUAGGCCGACACGUUCACUUUGAACAAAUUAGAGUGCUUAAAGCAGGCUGAAAUAUCUGCCUGAAUAGUGGUGCAUGGAAUGAUAAAACAGGACCUCAGUUCUAUUUUGUUGGUUUUAGGAAUAUGAGGUAAUGAUCAAUGUGGACUGGCGGGGGCAUUCGUAUUGCGACGUUAGAGGUGAAAUUCUUGGAUCGUCGCAAGACGCACUAGAGCGAAAGCAUUUGCCAAGUAUGUCUUAAUUGAUCAAGAACGAAAGUUAGAGGUUCGAAGGCGAUCAGAUACCGCCCUAGUUCUAACCAUAAACGAUGCCAGCCAGCGAUCCGCCGAUGUUCCUUUAAUGACUCGGCGGGGAGCUUCUACCCGGGAAACCAAAGCUUUUGGGUUCCGGGGGAAGUAUGGUUGCAAAGCUGAAACUUAAAGGAAU
This 759-nucleotide ribosomal RNA is filed under the name Manicocoris rufipes. RNAcentral's name for it is "SSU rRNA". It matches the Rfam family "Eukaryotic small subunit ribosomal RNA", at positions 477 to 1153 of the family's 1831-position model. Lineage: Eukaryota; Metazoa; Arthropoda; Insecta; Hemiptera; Reduviidae. The record is from RNAcentral.